GUAGUCUGCAACCGACUACAUGAAGCUGGAAUCGCUAGUAAUCGCGGAUCAGAAUGCCGCGGUGAAUACGUUCCCGGGUCUUGUACACACCGCCCGUCACACCAUGGGAGUCGGAAAUGCCCGAAGUCUGUGACCCAACCUUAGGGAGGGAGCAGCCGAAGGCAGGUCGGAUGACUGGGGUGAAGUCGUAACAAGGUACC
This 200-nucleotide ribosomal RNA is filed under the name uncultured bacterium. Its description in RNAcentral is "partial 16S ribosomal RNA". It matches the Rfam family "Bacterial small subunit ribosomal RNA", at positions 1300 to 1500 of the family's 1533-position model. The record is from RNAcentral.